GAUAUCACAUUUUAUAUGCAUGGACUGGAUUCGAACCUGGGAUUCCUCACUUGUUCACUUUAAGAUGUGAAUUUUUAGUCAUUAGACUACUUGACCAAAAAAAAGUAUUUGAAAUGAAUUGUGUAAAGGUACUUGAACUCAGGUUACAUUGAUGUAAUUUAACUUAAUUUAUGUAAAUGUUAACAUACUUGAAUUGAGUUUGCAUAAACAUCAUUGAACUAAAUUUACGUAAAUAUACUUGAACUGAGUUUUUGUAAACAUACUUGUAUUGAUUUUGCAUAAGAUAAACACGCAUAAGUGAUUUUACAUACGAUUAAAAAUAUAAGUUUCAUGUAUUACUAGAUUGACUAAAUAUAAAUCCGUGCAAUAUCACAUGUGUUGAUAUGGAUUUACUAUUAAUAUUAAUAGAAGUUAAAUUAACCGGUCCCCGUGAGCUCAGGGACAUCGCAUUUUAUAUGCAGGGGUUGAGGUUCGAAUUCGAACCCCGGACACCCCACUUAGCCAUUGGGUUACUUGACCAAAAAAGUUAAAUUAACCAUGAAACUUAAAUACAAAAAAAUAAAAAUUGGUC
This 571-nucleotide long non-coding RNA is filed under the name Trifolium pratense (red clover). Its description in RNAcentral is "long non-coding RNA (TPRA_LNC010608)". The record is from RNAcentral. Lineage: Eukaryota; Viridiplantae; Streptophyta; Magnoliopsida; Fabales; Fabaceae.